CGUGUCAGUGAUGAUUCCAUGGUGAUAUGGCGUCAGGCAUGGCGCCCCGAACUGCAUGAGGAAAGGUCCCAUGCUGCCUUCCUUCUGACAACACG
Small nucleolar RNA from Chanos chanos (milkfish), 95 nucleotides. RefSeq annotates it as small nucleolar RNA U83B. The record is from RefSeq and is a predicted model, not a curated record. Lineage: Eukaryota; Metazoa; Chordata; Actinopteri; Gonorynchiformes; Chanidae. The transcript has a single exon.